GCCUGGGUGGCUUAGUUGGUUAAGUAUCUGACUUCAGCUCAGGUCAUGAUCUUGUGGUUCAUGGGUUUGAGCCCCACAUCAGGCU
Molecule: transfer RNA, 85 nt
Filed under: Felis catus (domestic cat)
Lineage: Eukaryota; Metazoa; Chordata; Mammalia; Carnivora; Felidae
Also listed under: 1 other name
Rfam family: tRNA
About the family: Transfer RNA (tRNA) molecules are approximately 80 nucleotides in length. Their secondary structure includes four short double-helical elements and three loops (D, anti-codon, and T loops).
Source: Rfam by way of RNAcentral